CUGCCCUCGAGGCCACCUGCCGCAGGGAUUGGAGACUCCUCGGAAAAUUUCCGGGUCACCAAUCCUGCGGUCUGGCCUCAAAAGCAACUGAAUGAGUGAAAAGCCUAGGAAAGGGUAUGGGUUCUCAAGUCCUGCGGUGUGGCCUCAAGGGCACUCGCCACAGGGCUUGGAGACACCUCGCAAAAGCUCCGCGUCACCAAGUCCCGCGAUCUGGCCUCGAGGGCGCUUGCACCGCAGAAAAGCCUCCAAAACGCUCCGGGUCAACAAGGAAAGAGUUGGCUGCACGGGGGCUCCGCACAGCACCGCUCUGUUCCGUCCGUCCCGUCGCACGCUCCGAGGAGCACUGAGGCGUGGCCACGUCACCACCGGUACUAUGUCAUGACGUGUCACAAAGGGCCCUGUGACACCCUGCCCCGUCGCACACCAUCGGCGAUGCCCACCGUGUCACAAAGGCCCUGUGACACACUGCCACCUGCCCUGGGGCCUCCCCCUGCCCGGCCAACCUGCCCCAGGGGACCGUUGGGAGUGGUAGCCGGAGCAAUUGGUGGCAGCGCUCGGCAUCUGUCAGAAGGCAGAAGCAGUUUCUCCUUGCGGGAAUGAUUUUUGCAUGGAAGUGAUGACCUGCAGCACAAAAUCAAUCUUAAGUUGCUGAGUUUCGCAGGAAGAUCAGAUUGCUCAGAGAUCCUGUCCAGUUUCCUUGUGUUAGUUGGACUUUUCUUCUGGCAUUCUGCAAAAUAAAUCUGCCCGGUCUGAUGUUCAAA
This is a long non-coding RNA of Pseudopipra pipra, 761 nucleotides long. RefSeq lists it as uncharacterized. The record is from RefSeq and is a predicted model, not a curated record. The transcript has 2 exons. Lineage: Eukaryota; Metazoa; Chordata; Aves; Passeriformes; Pipridae.